GAGCCAAGGAGAUCAGAAACCAGACCAGCCUCAGCUCUUCUAAAACUCCAGGUAGACAGUGUCCGACAUGAGCUGCUACCAGGAAAGGUUUUCCUCGGAGGAUGACUACUGCACCUACGCGUCGAAAAUGGAGAAGAAGACAGACAUGACUAAAGGGCCUCACUUCCCUCAGCUUCACACUGUGAUCAAGCACAAGGAGGUCCAUAUGGAAGAGGACGAGUCACGCCCUGGAAUCUUUGGCCGGCCGAGGCACGAGGAGUGGUCUGAAGAGGAGACCUAUGAAAUGUCUGAGACCACCUACGCAGGCGACAUGGGCAUGAAAGGGGGAGAGCGCAUCAGGCGCAAGGUGUAUAUAUGAGACUAUCAUCUAUAUAUAGUUCUGUGGUGAUGGAUGCCAUGGCUUGGCAUCUUUAUAUAUAGAAUAAAUCUCGGGCUUAUCUGCUGUAUAUCCAUAUGAAUAAUACUAUACUUCUCUAGUACUCAAGCUAUAGCUCUAUACUUUAGCCUACUACAUUCACUCUUGAUAUCUUUAGUACGCGCGUGUUUUCAGGUAAAUUUUUUGAGAAUACUACCCAACUCUUUCCCCCUUCAUUUUGAUAAUAUAAUCGGGAAAGAAGUAGGCUAGUCUCCGCUUUGAAUCCUAAAUAUAUUGGUGCAAGAUCGACCGAUGGCAUUCUAAAAUGUUGAUCCAAGCCACUGAUAAUGAUAUAUAUAACAUGUAAGACAUCCGCAAGAAUCAAGUAUUUUGUAAGUUAUCUAUCUAUUAUGCAUCAAGGGGAUGCAAAUGGACGGCAUGAGUAGUGCUAAUGUGUUAAAAUGCAUGAUAGGGUGUGAGAAAAAUUUUGAAUCCAGUCCAUCGAUUAUGAUCGCUCCAUAGAAAGCAUAUGUCAAAUAAAGUUCAAUAUGUUUGAGCACUUCUAAGUCAUAUGUAAACAUGAACUAGAUCGAACAACAUGUAUGAUGAAACCUUUUUGUUUUUGAAGAUUGUUUAUAAAAGGUUUUUGAGCUUUUGGAAGCAAAGUUUAUAGCUUUCAUAAAAAGAGUGAAAAUAAAAUCAAGGAAUAGUAAAAGUUUUGUGCAGAUGCUACCUCGGACAUCAAUCUGCAUGUAGGAAUAGCCAAAUAGGACCUGCAACUCUGUUUCCUAGGGGAAAAAAAAAAAAGCUGAGAUUUUAGGGACGGUUGCAAAAUGUUGCAGUUCCCGUUUUCUUCAGAUUUUCUAAAGCUGGAACUUUCUCGGUUUUGUUACUUCAAGUUCCUUUCUGAGAACUCAGAAAUUCUAACAUAUUUCUGUAGCAAUUUCCGAAGCUGUUUUAAUGAAGCUGUAACUACUACCUAUCAUUAUGGUUUUUAACUUACAGGCUUGAAGCAUAACGCGCUCCCAGUUGCACCCCUAUUUUAAGUGUCUUUGGAGCAUUUUUCAAGACAAAACGAGAACAUAGGAUAAUUUUUGGCCCAGAUCUUGCCACAUAUCGCCGCAAGUGUUGGCUGAUUCUCCUUCUUGAUUAAAGCAGACAAUGCCAGUGAUCAAACACAACAUAAGUUCACGUAUAUAAGCAAUUCACUAAGAUCUACACCAAAGAGGUGCAGUGGCAAAGAAGCAACCAACUCAGAGAACCUUUGGAAGAAGGCUUAGCCCAAAGAAGGCACAAACUUUGCCCUCCCCUGAGGCCAUCCUUUCAGAUCCCUCGGUUCCCACCACCUUCUCUCUCCCUCUCUCCUGCGGACGUGCCGGUGCUGCAGCGCAGAGAGAGACCCUGCAUCAAUGCCAUGCGGAUUCGUGCAAAGCAAACUAACGUUCCCCAUGCCAAAAGCGGAUUACUCUACUGCCUCUAUAUAUAGAUCUCUUGCUUUCUUCUCAGCUCGCCACUCUUUCUUCCACCGAUUCUUCCAGAAUUAAUAUUAGAGCCAUGGCUGUCUUCCGUCGAGCCUAUUUGUUUCGAGAUAUCUUCCGUUGAUGAGUGACUUGCUCGUCUUUCAUGGUCACUUGACGACGUUGGUGCCCUGAAGUCGCGCCAAUGGCAACCUCGCGUUGACGUGGGGGGAAUUAAGCUCGUUUCUAUGGGUGCUCUUCUUGCUUUAUUUUCCGCUUUCUGCUCUCUAACGUAUGGGAAUUGAUUUGUGUGAGGUUGGAAGGGGAUCCAAGUGUAUGGUGAUAUAAUAGCAGCCUUAAAUAUCAGCUUUUUGCUAUUCUAAUAUUGGGUUCGGGUUGUAUCUUCCGUGGGAAAGAAUGAUUCAUCUUUUUUUUCCACGAGGUCAACCAUUGGAUUGUGCAACGGCCACUUUAAGAUCUGUGCAGGUGGAUGAAAAAAAAAAGAGUUUGGUGUGCUUUGGAUCAUUCUUUCACGUGAAAGAUACAACCUAGAUCCUUUGAUAUAUGCACAUUUCCGAAGUGGUCAAAGUGUUUACCAUAAAGAAGAUUGGAGUCUUGAGUGCUCAAAAGAUGUUCGUAGCUAUAAGUGAGGUUGCAUAUUGCACCUAUAAGACUUAUUGAAUGUAUAGUGAUUGUAUGGAGUUCCUCCUCCACCAAGAUGGUCAUGACCUCGCAUUAAGAAUUGGCUGUGUUGUUAUAUUGAAUAAUCAAUAUUAACAAUCCACUUUAAAAAUCAUUGUCAAGGAUAGAGAUGCGAACUUGGUUGAAAUAGCUUAUAAGUGGUCCCUUAACUUGAAAUAAUAGAAUACCUUACUACAAUUUUGUGACAAAAUCCAUGUAUUAAUAAUGAUACCCUUGAUAAGAGGCAUAGUGGUUUAUUGGAUUCAGAUACAAAUAAGGGUCUAGUUGUCCAACAUGAAAUCAACCAUAUGUUACAAUGUUAAUAUUAAAACAUAGAGAUGGUCAGACAUAUGAGACCCACAACCCAGCUAAUUACUUAAAGUUUUAAAAAUAAUUAUUUUGGAAAAAAAUAUUAUUAAGAACAAUGGUAAAUUAUUUUCAAAAGGUUUCAUGUGCAUUGAAAUCCAAUCCAAUCCACCACCAUAAGCUCUCUCACGCGCGCAUAUAUAUAUAUAUAUAUAUAUAUAUAUUCGUUAUAUAUAUAUAUAUAUAUAUAUAUAUAUUCGAAUUUGCCCCUCUUGGUUUCAAGUUAGCAUGUUUUAUAGAAUGGCAAUUUUAGAUGAAGUUUGGUCUAGGACCUCUAGGUAUAGAUGUGUAGGAAUAGAUUUGCACAAUUUGAUGAGUCGGUGAAUAUUUUGGUGUAAUUUGACAUAUUCAAUAUUCUAUUUUGCAUGGUUGCAAUUUUCUGUUUUCAAUUUUCCUUAAAAACUAAAGAAAUUGCCACGGGAAUGGUGUUUGAUAAUCUAUUUUCUUUUUUAGUUUUUUUGAAAACUUUUUCUUAGUUUCUAAAAAUUUAUGCAAGUUUAAAAUUUUGUUUCCAAAAUUUCUAAAAAUCAAACCACUCAUGAUCCUCCACCAUCAUCUUUGUUGCUAUUGCCUCUGUCACCACCUAUCAACCACUAUCCUCUCGCCAACCACAAUCAUCUCCACUAUCACUGCAAUCAGCAUUGCUAACAUUGCUGCCAAAUGCAUUCCAUGCAACCAUUAGAUGUUAGGUUUUUGAUUGAAGGAGGCUUGUUUGAGGAAUCUCUUUUAGAGAUGUAACGUGAAAGAUAAAUGGAGAAUCGACCUUGCGACCUAGAGAGGGGAAUUUCAAAAAAUUCGAUGAAAAGAGAGAAAAAGAAGGGAAUAUAUAUUUGUGGUGUGGUUAACUAAGCUGAUUGAUAUUGAUGGUAUUCGAAUUUGAUAAGACAAGGAUUAGAAUUCUUUCAUAUGAAGUAUGCGAAUGAAGAACUGGUGGUCUAGAUCAUUGAGGAAUGAGAAUAAGAAAGCGAGCAAUGAAGAUAGGAGGUGGGUCCUAAAAUUUAAAGGGGCAAGGAGGCUGCACUGGAACUAUUUGGAAAUCCCAAGAACAUUUAAUUUCUCAGGAUGGCCAUGGCCCUUGCCCCCUCCCCUGCCGGUUCCAGCAUUCACAAACUGAUGCAUUCUUUUAGUCUUCUAAAUCUACUUCAUAUAGUUUCUAGGAGCUUGGGUUGUCUCUAUGGUUCAUAAACCUUACAAGAAUGUUUACCUUCUGAUGUCAGCAUAUGAUAUAUAACGAUGACAAGUGCCUCUACCUGUGGGUCGAUGAAGAAUGGUAUGAUCAAUUCAGGUUUCCAAGCACAGAAGAACGGUACAAAGAUAGCAGCAGCAAGACAUUCAAACAUUGUUGAUCUCAGAAAACCAUGUUGCCCAUGCUGUAACGCAGCACUGGUUUGUAAGCUAGGAAAUGAUCAAGGAAUAGGAUGGACUCCAAUGGACACAGGCCUAUGUGAACUUGGAGAGGAGCACUGUACUAGUAAAGUGAAUGCAACUCAGCUAUGGUGCUCAUAUUCUGCCCCUAUGUAAAUUUCAAACUUCUCUCUUUUUCUUCUUGGGAAAUAUCGAACCUAUUCAACCAUCUGAUGGUGAUUACAAACAUUUUAAACUAACUUUUUCCAGAGCAAUUCCAAACGGUGGAGAAAUUGUUUGCAUAUGAUGAGGUAUGGGAUCACAAAGUAAUAUAAUUAUUGUCGAGUAUAUCUUUGAGUUUACGGGCUCUAGAAAGGCAAAAAAAAUCUUUUCCCCCAUGAGAGAAGCAAGUGGUGCAGAGUGCAAAGAGCGAAGCAAGCAUUAGCAUCCUUGUUUUAUUUGGGCCGCACAGGAUGAGAUAAAUUUAUUUAUAUAUUGUUCUAGAAACCGACAUUAGCAUCAGUGGGUGCUUCCAAUACCACCCAAAGCUACUGCAUCAAGGUUCAAAUUCAUGCAAUAACACUAGCCGCCUGACGCAGACAGAAGUUAGAGGAUUAGAUGCGCUUCUUAUCUUUUUUCUUUUUUUUUGGUACAGAUGCACUUCUUAUCUUCAAGGAAUAAAUAUCAUAAGGCUUGGUCUAUAAAAAGGAGGAGCCAAGGAGCUCAGAAACCAGACCAGCCUCAGCUCUUCUAAAACUCCAGGUAGACAGUGUCCAACAUGAGCUGCACCUACGAGUCGAAAAUGGAGAAGACAAGCAUGACUGAAGGGCCUCACUCCCCUCAGCUUCACACUGUGAUCAAGCACAAGGAGGUCCAUGAGGAAGAGGAGAAGCCACGCCACGGAAUCUUCGGCCGGCCAAGGAACAAGGAGUGGUCUGAAGAGGAGACCUAUGAAAUCUCUGAGACAACCUACGCAGGCGACAUGGGCAUGCAAGGAGGAGAGUGCAUCAGGCGCAAGGAGUAUAUAUGAGACCAUACAUCAAGGCAGCUUGAGAGCAUCAUCUAUCUAUAGUUCUGUGAUGAUGGAUGCCAUGGCUUGGCAUCUUUAUAUAUAGAAUAAAUCUCUGGCUUAUCUACUGUAUAUCCAUAUGAAUAAUACUAUACUUCUCUAGUACUCAAGGUAUAGCUCUAUACUUUAGCCUACUACAUUCACUCUUGAUAUCUUUAGUACGCGCGUGUUUUCAGGUAGAUUUUUUGAGAAUACUACACCAACUCUUUCCCCCUUCAUUUUGAUAAUAUAAUCGGGAAAGAAGUAGGCUAGUCUCCGCUUUGAAUCCUAAAUAUAUUGGUGCAAGAUCGACCGAUGGCAUUCUAAAAUGUUGAUCCAAGCCACUGAUAAUGAUAUAUAUAACAUGCAAGACAUCCGCAAGAAUCAAGUAUUUUGUAAGUUUUCUAUCUAUUAUGCAUCAAGAGGAUGCAACUGGACGGCAUGAGUAGUGCUAAUGUGUUAAAAUGCAUGAUAGGGUGUGAGAAAAAUUUUGAAUCCAGUCCGUCGAUUAUGAUCGCUCCAUAGAAAGCAUAUGUGAAAUAAAGUUCAAUAUGUUUGCUUCUAAGUCACAUGAAAACAUGAACUCGAUCCAACAACAUGUGUGAUGAAACCUUUUUGUUUUUGAAGAUUGUUUGUAAAAGUUUUUGAGCUUUUGGAAGCAAAGUUUAUAGCUUUCAUAGAAGGAGUGAAAAUAAAGCAAGGAAUAGAAAAAGUUUUGUACAGAUGCCACCUUGGACAUCAAUCUGCAUGUGGUAUUUCAC
RNAcentral lists this long non-coding RNA (6012 nucleotides) under Phoenix dactylifera (date palm). Its description in RNAcentral is "long non-coding RNA (PDAC_LNC000241)". The record is from RNAcentral. Lineage: Eukaryota; Viridiplantae; Streptophyta; Magnoliopsida; Arecales; Arecaceae.